CGGAGUAACGCGUGGGUAACCUGCCUCAUACAGGGGGAUAACAGUUAGAAAUGACUGCUAAUACCGCAUAAGCGCACAGUGCUGCAUGGCACAGUGUGAAAAACUCCGGUGGUAUGAGAUGGACCCGCGUCUGAUUAGCUAGUUGGUGGGGUAACGGCCUACCAAGGCGACGAUCAGUAGCCGGCCUGAGAGGGUGACCGGCCACAUUGGGACUGAGACACGGCCCAA
Molecule: ribosomal RNA, 228 nt
Filed under: uncultured bacterium
Lineage: Bacteria
Description: partial 16S ribosomal RNA
Rfam family: Bacterial small subunit ribosomal RNA
Source: RNAcentral